GCGUUGUUCGGAAUUAUUGGGCGUAAAGAGCGUGUAGGCGGCUUUGCAGGUCCGCUGUGAAAACUCGAGGCUCAACCUCGAGCUGUCGGUGGAAACCGUAAAGCUAGAGUCCGGAAGAGGAGAGUGGAAUUCCCGGUGUAGCGGUGAAAUGCGCAGAUAUCGGGAAGAACACCCGUGGCGAAGGCGGCUCUCUGGGACGGUACUGACGCUGAGACGCGAAAGCGUGGGGAGCGAACAGG
RNAcentral lists this ribosomal RNA (239 nucleotides) under uncultured bacterium. RNAcentral describes it as "partial 16S ribosomal RNA". It matches the Rfam family "Bacterial small subunit ribosomal RNA", at positions 538 to 776 of the family's 1533-position model. The record is from RNAcentral.